Raphanus sativus (radish) is the source of this 682-nucleotide long non-coding RNA. RefSeq lists it as uncharacterized. The record is from RefSeq and is a predicted model, not a curated record. The transcript has 2 exons. Lineage: Eukaryota; Viridiplantae; Streptophyta; Magnoliopsida; Brassicales; Brassicaceae.
CUUCUCCACUUCUCGGGGCCGACGAGAUCGUCACCACCACCACUACUCCCUUCGAUUUGUCGCACUAUUCAUCACCACUACAGUCACCGACGUGCUCGCCACUAACCACCACCACCGAGGCGCUCGUCACCACCACCACUCCGUCAAGAAACAAAGAGCGUCCUUUUUGAAUCGAAAAGAGAGAAGGAAAGUGAGAAGAUUUGAGAUCUGAAGCCAGUCAACGAAUCUAUCAAGGUCUUUUCCUUACGAAUCUGGAUUUCUUCGUGUUAGAGAAGGUGGAGGAGGCUGACGAAAGCUUGAUGGUGAUGGUUUCAAGGUCAACAUUGAUGGCUGAGUGUGAUGGUUUGCUAUAUGGAACUUGAUGGAGGAGAAGGUACGGCAAUGUCGGAGCUCUGUAGCGAUGGAGAUGGCGGUGACGACAAAGUACAACAACCACAAAAAGAAGAAGGAAGGCACGGUUUAGAUUUAGGUUUUACAUUUUUGGUAAAUUAGGUUUUGGUUAAUUAAGUUUGGUUUAAUGUGUUUGAGUUAGCUUUUUGGUUUAAUUUUUUUUUAGAUUUAGUUUUUAAACCCGGUUUGGGUUAAUUUGUAAACCAAAAAAUUUGUAAUCUGGUUUAAUUUUUAAACCAAAAUCAAUUGUAAAUCGAAAUCAUUUAUAAACCGGUUUAAUCUAUAUACAGUA